RNAcentral lists this signal recognition particle RNA (148 nucleotides) under Chlorocebus sabaeus (green monkey). RNAcentral's name for it is "Metazoan signal recognition particle RNA". It matches the Rfam family "Metazoan signal recognition particle RNA". Rfam says of the family: The signal recognition particle (SRP) is a universally conserved ribonucleoprotein. It is involved in the co-translational targeting of proteins to membranes. The record is from Rfam by way of RNAcentral. Lineage: Eukaryota; Metazoa; Chordata; Mammalia; Primates; Cercopithecidae.
GCUGGGUGUGGUGGCGUGCACCUGUAAUCCCAGCUACUCGGGAGGCUGAGGCGGGAGAAUUGCUUGAACCCAGGAGACAGAGGUUGCAGUGAGCAGAGAUCGCGCCACUGCACUCCAGCCUGGGUGACACGGCGAGACUCUGUCUCAA